AUCCAGUUGACCAGUCCCAAAUAAGACGAAAUGCGUGUACUGGAU
Molecule: non-coding RNA, 45 nt
Filed under: Schistosoma mattheei
Lineage: Eukaryota; Metazoa; Platyhelminthes; Trematoda; Strigeidida; Schistosomatidae
Source: RNAcentral